GGCCGCGGGAAUUCGAUUCAGGCCUAACACAUGCAAGUCGAACGGCAGCAUGAUCUAGCUUGCUAGAUUGAUGAAAAAAAGCGAACGGGUGAGUAAUACAUCGGAACGUGCCCUGUAGUGGGGGAUAACUAGUCGAGAGAUUAGCUAAUACCGCAUACGACCUGAGGGUGAAAGUGGGGGACCGCAAGGCCUCAUGCUAUAGGAGCGGCCGAUGUCUGAUUAGCUAGUUGGUGAGGUAAAGGCUCACCAAGGCGACGAUCAGUAGCUGGUCUGAGAGGACGAUCAGCCACACUUUUUUGAAGACACGGCCCAGACUCCUACGGGAGGCAGCAGUGGGGAAUUUUGGACAAU
RNAcentral lists this ribosomal RNA (351 nucleotides) under uncultured bacterium. Its description in RNAcentral is "bacterial SSU rRNA". It matches the Rfam family "Bacterial small subunit ribosomal RNA", at positions 43 to 372 of the family's 1533-position model. The record is from RNAcentral.